GGAGGGUGCUAGCGUUGUUCGGAAUCACUGGGCGUAAAGCGCGUGUAGGCGGUCCGUUAAGUCUGAUGUGAAAGCCCGGGGCUCACCCCCGGAAGUGCAUUGGAAACUGACGAACUCGAGUCCCGGAGAGGAGGGUGGAAUUCCUGGUGUAGCGGUGAAAUGCGUAGAUAUCAGGAGGAACACCGGUGGCGAAGGCGGCCCUCUGGACGGUGACUGACGCUGAGACGCGAAAGCGUGGGGAGCAAACAGGAUUAGAUACCCUGGUAGUCCACGCCGUAAACGAUGAGCACUAGGUGUCGCGGGUAUUGACCCCUGCGGUGCCGACGCUAACGCAUUAAGUGCUCCGCCUGGGGAAUACGGCCGCAAGGUUA
This 371-nucleotide ribosomal RNA is filed under the name uncultured bacterium. RNAcentral's name for it is "bacterial SSU rRNA". It matches the Rfam family "Bacterial small subunit ribosomal RNA", at positions 527 to 896 of the family's 1533-position model. The record is from RNAcentral.